Mercurialis annua (annual mercury) is the source of this 1327-nucleotide long non-coding RNA. RefSeq lists it as uncharacterized. The transcript has 2 exons. NCBI's taxonomy places the organism in Eukaryota, Viridiplantae, Streptophyta, Magnoliopsida, Malpighiales, Euphorbiaceae. The record is from RefSeq and is a predicted model, not a curated record.
AUAAAAUGUUGAUGUUCUCUAUAAAUUUAUAAACAUAAAUAAAAGCAAAGAAGGAAUUACCAAUUUGACAAGAGAAGAUGGAUUAACUUAACAUGAUUGAGACUUGAUUGGUGCUUUAUCAAUAAAAAAUUUCAUUAUGAUUGGCCUGAAGCUUUUUAUGAAGCUAUACCAGCUGGGAUAUCAGAUCAUAGCGUCCUCCUGGUUUAUUUUGAUUCCAGAGUUUGCAAGAGAAGAGGUAGUUUCAAGUUCUUCAAUGUCUUGUAUGAGCACCAGAACUUUCUUCAGAUUGUUAAGAAGGUUUGGGACCUUAGUUUCAAUGGGUUCCAUAUGUACCAAAUUUAUCAGAAGCCAAAAAUUCUUAAAAAGGAGUGCAGACAGUUUAAUAGAAAGGAUUUUAGUGAUAUUUCAAUGAGAGUGGACAUGACCAGAAGCUUAUUGAGUAAGGUUCAAGCUGACAUCUAGGCCGACCCCUUUAAUACUAUCCUCCAAGAUGAAGAGAGAGCUAUCUCUAAGUACUUUCAUAAAGUGUUCAGCUGGGAAGAAAAUAUUCUUAGGCAAAAAUCCAGGAUGAUAUGGAUUAAACUUGGAGACCAUAACUCUAAAGUUUUUCAUAGGAGUAUUAACAAAGGCAGAUCAAGAAAAGAAUUGUGAUGAUUAGAAACAAUGAAGGGGAAAUGGUGGAGGAGCCUUUUUAAACUCUCCUAUACAGAAUAGGAAAAAUGUGGACCACAAUGUGUUCAAUGCUGGCUGUGUCCUUAAUAAUGAGGAUAGAGCUAAUCUGCAGACUCUCUUUUGUGAUAAUGAGAUCAGAGUUGCCCUGUAUAGGAUCAAUGAUGACAAGGCUCCAGGUCCAAAUGAGUUUGUUAGCAGUUUCUUAAAAAAAAAAGCUGGAAUAUCAUUGGGAAAGACAUCAUUCAGGCUACUAAAGACUUUCAAGCAACUGGUUGUGGAAGUUUUUCAUUUCGUAUGUAUACCAAACCUUACCAAUGUUGGAAGGAAGGCUUCCUGUUUUUGGUUUUUGCAAGGGAAUAUCCAAUGAUUUUGAAAGAAUUGAACGAGGAGCUGUAUAAGGUGAAAAUCUCAUAUACGGUUUCAAGAUAUGGUUGCAGAAAAGGUUAAUGUCCUGACUCCAUCGGUGCCCAGUCCUUCAAUGCUAAAAGAAGCUGAUUCAGUCACAGGAUUCGUGAAAAUAGAACUUUCGCUCCUGUUUUUAAUUUUUUAAUUUUAGCUUUUUUAUUUUUAAAAUUGCUAACGUCAAAAUAACGUUGUUUUGAAGACAUGAAAAAAUGAAUGAAUAAUCUCUCCCCCCGUGACUUCAGAUCUUGAA